AGCACGGGGGCAACCCUGGUGGCGAGCGGCGAACGGGUGAGUAACACAUCGGAACAUGCCCAGUCGUGGGGGAUAACACUUCGAAAGAAGUGCUAAUACCGCAUACGUCCUGGGGGAGAAAGCGGGGGAUCGCAAGACCUCGCGCGAUUGGAGUGGCCGAUGUCAGAUUAGCUAGUUGGUGGGGUAAAGGCCUACCAAGGCAACGAUCUGUAGCUGGUCUGAGAGGAUGAUCAGCCACACUGGGACUGAGACACGGCCCAGACUCCUACGGGAGGCAGCAGUGGGGAAUUUUGGACAAUGGGGGCAACCCUGAUCCAGCCAUUCCGCGUGAGUGAAGAAGGCCUUCGGGUUGUAAAGCUCUUUCGGCAGGAACGAAACG
RNAcentral lists this ribosomal RNA (379 nucleotides) under uncultured bacterium. Its description in RNAcentral is "bacterial SSU rRNA". It matches the Rfam family "Bacterial small subunit ribosomal RNA", at positions 71 to 452 of the family's 1533-position model. The record is from RNAcentral.